UUGUGUCCCAGAUGGAGCUGACCAGC
RNAcentral lists this non-coding RNA (26 nucleotides) under Rattus norvegicus (Norway rat). The record is from RNAcentral. Lineage: Eukaryota; Metazoa; Chordata; Mammalia; Rodentia; Muridae.